GCGGCCUACCAUGCAAGUCGAGCGGAUGACGGGAGCUUGCUCCUUGAUUCAGCGGCGGACGGGUGAGUAAUGCCUAGGAAUCUGCCUGGUAGUGGGGGACAACGUUUCGAAAGGAACGCUAAUACCGCAUACGUCCUACGGGAGAAAGCAGGGGACCUUCGGGCCUUGCGCUAUCAGAUGAGCCUAGGUCGGAUUAGCUAGUUGGUGAGGUAAUGGCUCACCAAGGCGACGAUCCGUAACUGGUCUGAGAGGAUGAUCAGUCACACUGGAACUGAGACACGGUCCAGACUCCUACGGGAGGCAGCAGUGGGGAAUAUUGGACAAUGGGCGAAAGCCUGAUCCAGCCAUGCCGCGUGUGUGAAGAAGGUCUUCGGAUUGUAAAGCACUUUAAGUUGGGAGGAAGGGCAGUAAGUUAAUACCUUGCUGUUUUGACGUUACCGACAGAAUAAGCACCGGCUAACUCUGUGCCAGCAGCCGCGGUAAUACAGAGGGUGCAAGCGUUAAUCGGAAUUACUGGGCGUAAAGCGCGCGUAGGUGGUUCGUUAAGUUGGAUGUGAAAGCCCCGGGCUCAACCUGGGAACUGCAUCCAA
This 590-nucleotide ribosomal RNA is filed under the name Pseudomonas plecoglossicida. RNAcentral describes it as "bacterial SSU rRNA". It matches the Rfam family "Bacterial small subunit ribosomal RNA", at positions 42 to 630 of the family's 1533-position model. The record is from RNAcentral. Lineage: Bacteria; Pseudomonadati; Pseudomonadota; Gammaproteobacteria; Pseudomonadales; Pseudomonadaceae.